This 625-nucleotide ribosomal RNA is filed under the name uncultured Lachnospiraceae bacterium. Its description in RNAcentral is "bacterial SSU rRNA". It matches the Rfam family "Bacterial small subunit ribosomal RNA", at positions 66 to 712 of the family's 1533-position model. Lineage: Bacteria; Bacillati; Bacillota; Clostridia; Lachnospirales; Lachnospiraceae. The record is from RNAcentral.
ACUUCGGUGGAUUUGAUCUAUUUCUAGUGGCGGACGGGUGAGUAACGCGUGGGUAACCUGCCUUAUACAGGGGGAUAACAGUCAGAAAUGGCUGCUAAUACCGCAUAAGCGCACAGAGCUGCAUGGCUCAGUGUGAAAAACUCCGGUGGUAUAAGAUGGACCCGCGUUGGAUUAGCUAGUUGGUGGGGUAACGGCCCACCAAGGCGACGAUCCAUAGCCGGCCUGAGAGGGUGAACGGCCACAUUGGGACUGAGACACGGCCCAGACUCCUACGGGAGGCAGCAGUGGGGAAUAUUGCACAAUGGGGGAAACCCUGAUGCAGCGACGCCGCGUGAAGGAAGAAGUAUCUCGGUAUGUAAACUUCUAUCAGCAGGGAAGAUAGUGACGGUACCUGACUAAGAAGCCCCGGCUAACUACGUGCCAGCAGCCGCGGUAAUACGUAGGGGGCAAGCGUUAUCCGGAUUUACUGGGUGUAAAGGGAGCGUAGACGGUGUGGCAAGUCUGAUGUGAAAGGCAUGGGCUCAACCUGUGGACUGCAUUGGAAACUGUCAUGCUUGAGUGCCGGAGGGGUAAGCGGAAUUCCUAGUGUAGCGGUGAAAUGCGUAGAUAUUAGGAGGAACACCAG